UAAGGAAUAUUGCUCAAUGGGAGAAAUCCUGAAGCAGCAACGCCGCGUGGAGGAUGAAGGGUCUAUGACUUGUAAACUCCUGUAAAGAAGGAAAAAAUUCCCAUUUGAUGGGAGAUGAUGGUACUUCUGGAGUAAGCCCCGGCUAACUACGUGCCAGCAGCCGCGGUAAUACGUAGGGGGCAAGCGUUGUCCGGAUUUACUGGGUGUAAAGGGUGCUCAGGCGGAUUUGUAAGUCAGAGGUGAAAUCUUACAGCUUAACUGUGAAACUGCCUUUGAUACUGCAAGCCUAGAUUAUGGAAGAGAGUGAUGGAAUAUCUGGUGUAGCAGUGAAAUGCGUAGAUAUCAGAUAGAACACCAAUAGCGAAGGCAGUCACUUGGUCCAUUACUGACGCUAAAGCACGAAAGCGUGGGUAGCAAACA
Molecule: ribosomal RNA, 420 nt
Filed under: uncultured bacterium
Lineage: Bacteria
Description: bacterial SSU rRNA
Rfam family: Bacterial small subunit ribosomal RNA
Source: RNAcentral